Harpegnathos saltator (Jerdon's jumping ant) is the source of this 131-nucleotide long non-coding RNA. RefSeq lists it as uncharacterized. Lineage: Eukaryota; Metazoa; Arthropoda; Insecta; Hymenoptera; Formicidae. The transcript is spliced from 3 exons. The record is from RefSeq and is a predicted model, not a curated record.
CACUCUCCGCUUUCCGUGUCCAUCUGAACGCACGUAGUCACGUCGUAUACGAAGAUCUUAAUAUAAGGGUUAUGUGGCACAAGAAUAAUUAACUUCAGAUUAAACAAUUGGUUCGAGUUGUAUGCGAGGAU